AAAAUGAACCCCAUUCACAAAAGCCACAUCAGCAGGAAAUGGAAGUAGAGCAGCCUUGUGUCACAGAGGUUAAGCGGCAUGUGCCUGAGAGCAGAAAGUCGAGAUCCAGGUCAGCAUCCAGGUCACCAAAAAGAAGAAGAUCUAGGUCUGGCUCUAGGUCUCGGAGAUCCCGCCACCGUCGGUCUCGGUCCCGGUCCAGGGAUAGGCGCCGGCACUCGCCUCGCUCUCGCUCUCAAGAAAGACGGGAUCGAGAAAAAGAGAGGGAGCGGCGGCAGAAAGGCCUCCCUCAGAUCAAGUCAGAGACUGCAAGUGUUUGCAGCACCACACUGUGGGUGGGACAGCUGGACAAAAGGACUACUCAGCAGGAUGUUGCCAGUCUCUUAGAAGAGUUUGGUCCAAUUGAAUCAAUUAAC
RNAcentral lists this long non-coding RNA (413 nucleotides) under Rattus norvegicus (Norway rat). Its description in RNAcentral is "long non-coding RNA NONRATT006847". The record is from RNAcentral. Lineage: Eukaryota; Metazoa; Chordata; Mammalia; Rodentia; Muridae.